This 497-nucleotide ribosomal RNA is filed under the name uncultured bacterium. RNAcentral's name for it is "partial 16S ribosomal RNA". It matches the Rfam family "Bacterial small subunit ribosomal RNA", at positions 28 to 507 of the family's 1533-position model. The record is from RNAcentral.
GAUGAAUGCUGGCGGCGUGCCUAAUACAUGCAAGUCGAGCGAACAGACGAGGAGCUUGCUCCUUUGACGUUAGCGGCGGACGGGUGAGUAACACGUAGGUAACCUACCUAUAAGACUGGGAUAACUUCGGGAAACCGGAGCUAAUACCGGAUAAUAUUUCGAACCGCAUGGUUCGAUAGUGAAAGAUGGCUUUGCUAUCACUUAUAGAUGGACCUGCGCCGUAUUAGCUAGUUGGUAAGGUAACGGCUUACCAAGGCAACGAUACGUAGCCGACCUGAGAGGGUGAUCGGCCACACUGGAACUGAGACACGGUCCAGACUCCUACGGGAGGCAGCAGUAGGGAAUCUUCCGCAAUGGGCGAAAGCCUGACGGAGCAACGCCGCGUGAGUGAUGAAGGUCUUCGGAUCGUAAAACUCUGUUAUUAGGGAAGAACAAACGUGUAAGUAACUGUGCACGUCUUGACGGUACCUAAUCAGAAAGCCACGGCUAACUACGUG